Exophiala mesophila is the source of this 72-nucleotide transfer RNA. It matches the Rfam family "tRNA". Rfam says of the family: Transfer RNA (tRNA) molecules are approximately 80 nucleotides in length. Their secondary structure includes four short double-helical elements and three loops (D, anti-codon, and T loops). The record is from Rfam. NCBI's taxonomy places the organism in Eukaryota, Fungi, Ascomycota, Eurotiomycetes, Chaetothyriales, Herpotrichiellaceae.
AGCAACAUGGCGCAGCGGAAGCGCGCCGGGCUCAUAACCCGGAGGUCAAGUGAUCGAAACACUUUGUUGCUA